This 787-nucleotide ribosomal RNA is filed under the name uncultured bacterium. RNAcentral describes it as "bacterial SSU rRNA". It matches the Rfam family "Bacterial small subunit ribosomal RNA", at positions 8 to 801 of the family's 1533-position model. The record is from RNAcentral.
AGAGUUUGAUCCUGGCUCAGGACGAACGCUGGCGGCGUGCUUAACACAUGCAAGUCGAGCGGAAAGGCCACUUCGGUGGUACUCGAGCGGCGAACGGGUGAGUAACACGUGAGUAAUCUGCCCCUGGCUUUGGGAUAGCCACCGGAAACGGUGAUUAAUACCGGAUAUGACCGCUUCUCGCAUGGGUUGUGGUGGAAAGUUUUUCGGCCAGGGAUGUGCUCGCGGCCUAUCAGCUUGAUGGUGAGGUAAUGGCUCACCAUGGCUUCGACGGGUAGCCGGCCUGAGAGGGUGACCGGUCACACUGGGACUGAGACACGGCCCAGACUCCUACGGGAGGCAGCAGUGGGGAAUAUUGGACAAUGGGCGGAAGCCUGAUCCAGCAACGCCGCGUGAGGGAUGACGGCCUUCGGGUUGUAAACCUCUUUCAGUACCGACGAAGCGAUCCUUUUGGGGAGUGACGGUAGGUACAGAAGAAGCACCGGCCAACUACGUGCCAGCAGCCGCGGUAAUACGUAGGGUGCGAGCGUUGUCCGGAAUUAUUGGGCGUAAAGGGCUCGUAGGCGGUUUGUCGCGUCGGGAGUGAAAACCAGGUGCUUAACACCUGGCUUGCUUUCGAUACGGGCAGACUAGAGGUAUUCAGGGGAGAACGGAAUUCCUGGUGUAGCGGUGAAAUGCGCAGAUAUCAGGAGGAACACCGGUGGCGAAGGCGGUUCUCUGGGAAUAUCCUGACGCUGAGGAGCGAAAGUGUGGGGAGCGAACAGGAUUAGAUACCCUGGUAGUCCACACC